CCUGGUGGCUCAGAGGUUAAAGCAUCUGCCUGGAAUGCUGGAGACCUGGGUUCGAUCCCUGGAUCAGGA
This 69-nucleotide transfer RNA is filed under the name Ovis aries (sheep). It matches the Rfam family "tRNA". Rfam says of the family: Transfer RNA (tRNA) molecules are approximately 80 nucleotides in length. Lineage: Eukaryota; Metazoa; Chordata; Mammalia; Artiodactyla; Bovidae. The record is from Rfam by way of RNAcentral.